Heterocephalus glaber (naked mole-rat) is the source of this 136-nucleotide small nucleolar RNA. The record is from Ensembl. NCBI's taxonomy places the organism in Eukaryota, Metazoa, Chordata, Mammalia, Rodentia, Bathyergidae.
AAGCUAAUAUUUUUCUUAAAAAUGAUGGAUGUUGUUGAUUGUCUGAAAUUGGUCAAUGUCGCUAAAAUUGAGACACAGCUCAUGCUUCCCUCACAGGAAGCAUGUUAUAGUGGUGACAAUGAGGCCUGUAACAUUU